Molecule: ribosomal RNA, 626 nt
Filed under: uncultured bacterium
Lineage: Bacteria
Description: bacterial SSU rRNA
Rfam family: Bacterial small subunit ribosomal RNA
Source: RNAcentral
GUCGAGCGCAGUCCUUCGGGACCGAGCGGCGGACGGGUUAGUAACGCGUGGGAAUAUACCCAGAUCUAAGGAAUAGCCUCGGGAAACUGAGAGUAAUACCUUAUACGCCCUUCGGGGGAAAGAUUUAUCGGAUUUGGAUUAGCCCGCGUUAGAUUAGAUAGUUGGUGGGGUAAUGGCCUACCAAGUCUACGAUCUAUAGCUGGUUUUAGAGGAUGAUCAGCAACACUGGGACUGAGACACGGCCCAGACUCCUACGGGAGGCAGCAGUGGGGAAUCUUAGACAAUGGGCGAAAGCCUGAUCUAGCCAUGCCGCGUGUGUGAUGAAGGCCCUAGGGUCGUAAAGCACUUUCGCCAGAGAUGAUAAUGACAGUAUCUGGUAAAGAAACCCCGGCUAACUCCGUGCCAGCAGCCGCGGUAAUACGGAGGGGGUUAGCGUUGUUCGGAAUUACUGGGCGUAAAGCGUACGUAGGCGGAUUAGUAAGUUAGGGGUGAAAUCCCGAGGCUCAACCUCGGAACUGCCUCUAAAACUGCUAGUCUUGAGUUCGAGAGAGGUGAGUGGAAUUCCGAGUGUAGAGGUGAAAUUCGUAGAUAUUCGGAGGAACACCAGUGGCGAAGGCGGCUCACUG